RNAcentral lists this long non-coding RNA (373 nucleotides) under Mytilus galloprovincialis (Mediterranean mussel). The record is from RNAcentral. Lineage: Eukaryota; Metazoa; Mollusca; Bivalvia; Mytilida; Mytilidae.
GUUGUGUAUCAAUUUUUUAAAUAAAUUUUAUGUCCGCAGACUAAUUUUCCUAGGAAAUCAUCCCCCGCCACAUUAUGUAUGUAUGUGCCUGUCCCAAGUCAGGAGCCUGUAAUUCAGUGGUGGUCGUCUGUUUAUGUGUUACAUAUUUGUUUUUCGUUCAUUUUUUUUUAUAUAAAUAAGGCCGUUAGUUUUCUCGUUUGAUUUGUUUUACAUUGCCAUUUCGGGGUCUUUCAUAGCUGACUAUGGGGUAUGGGCUUUGCUCAUUUAUGAAGGCCGUACGGUGACCUAUAGCUGUUAAUUUCUGUGUCAUUUUGGUUUCUUGUGUACAGUUGUCUCAUUGGCAAUCAUACCACAUCUUCUUUUUCAUAUAAUA